Molecule: ribosomal RNA, 457 nt
Filed under: Prevotella sp. oral taxon 376
Lineage: Bacteria; Pseudomonadati; Bacteroidota; Bacteroidia; Bacteroidales; Prevotellaceae
Description: bacterial SSU rRNA
Rfam family: Bacterial small subunit ribosomal RNA
Source: RNAcentral
GAUGAACGCUAGCUACAGGCUUAACACAUGCAAGUCGAGGGGCAUCAUGUCGGUUGCUUGCAACCGAUGAUGGCGACCGGCGAAUGGGUGAGUAACGCGUAUCCAACCUGCCCCCGGCCGGGGUAUAACCCGUCGAAAGGCGGCCUAAUCCCCCAUGCAGUCCUCUGAGGUCCUCCGAUGAGGAUGAAAGGUAUUUUUCCGGCCGGUCGAUGGGGAUGCGUCCGAUUAGCUUGCUGGCGGGGUAACGGCCCACCAGGGCUUCGAUCGGUAGGGGUUCUGAGAGGAAGGUCCCCCACACUGGUACUGAGACACGGACCAGACUCCUACGGGAGGCAGCAGUGAGGAAUAUUGGUCAAUGGGCGGAAGCCUGAACCAGCCAAGUAGCGUGCAGGAUGACGGCCCUAUGGGUUGUAAACUGCUUUUGCGCGGGGAUAAAUUGGGAACGUGUUCCCCCUGC